This 263-nucleotide ribosomal RNA is filed under the name Nosema granulosis. Its description in RNAcentral is "partial small subunit ribosomal RNA". It matches the Rfam family "Microsporidia small subunit ribosomal RNA", at positions 78 to 333 of the family's 1311-position model. The record is from RNAcentral. Lineage: Eukaryota; Fungi; Microsporidia; Nosematidae.
GACGAACAGCUCAGUAACUCUUAUUUUAUUUGAUGUAUUAGGAUUAUAACUAUGUUAAAUUAUAGAUAACAAUAAUACAAUAAGAAUAAGAUCUAUCAGUUAGUUGUUAAGGUAAUGGCUUAACAAGACUAUGACGGAUAACGGUAUUACUUUGUAAUAUUCCGGAGAAGGAGCCUGAGAGAUUGCUACUAAGUCUAAGGAUUGCAGCAGGGGCGAAACUUGACCUAUGAUAUGAUAUUGAGGCAGUUAUGAGUAGUAUUUUU